UAGGGAAUCUUCGGCAAUGGGGGGAACCCUGACCGAGCAACGCCGCGUGAGUGAAGAAGGUUUUCGGAUCGUAAAGCUCUGUUGUUAAGGAAGAACGAGUGUGAGAAUGGAAAGUUCAUGCUGUGACGGUACUUAACCAGAAAGGGACGGCUAACUACGUGCCAGCAGCCGCGGUAAUACGUAGGUCCCGAGCGUUGUCCGGAUUUAUUGGGCGUAAAGCGAGCGCAGGCGGUCAAUUAAGUCUGAUGUGAAAGCCCCCGGCUCAACCGGGGAGGGUCAUUGGAAACUGGUUGACUUGAGUGCAGAAGAGGAGAGUGGAAUUCCAUGUGUAGCGGUGAAAUGCGUAGAUAUAUGGAGGAACACCAGUGGCGAAGGCGACUCUCUGGUCUGUAACUGACGCUGAGGCUCGAAAGCGUGGGUAGCAAACAGG
This 430-nucleotide ribosomal RNA is filed under the name Bacteroidota bacterium. Its description in RNAcentral is "Bacteroidetes bacterium partial 16S ribosomal RNA". It matches the Rfam family "Bacterial small subunit ribosomal RNA", at positions 355 to 776 of the family's 1533-position model. The record is from RNAcentral. Lineage: Bacteria; Pseudomonadati; Bacteroidota.